GUGGAUUUCCAUCUUACAAUUGAAUAUAAGUAGAUUGCAAGGUUGAUGGAAAGUAGCAAAGCUUCCAGACUUGCGUGAACAGAAAAGAAACAUCAAUUUGAAAGAAAACAUGUAUUUAUUUACUUCCUCUACAGUUUUCCUGACUGCUACAUUUCAUAAGAAGGGAUUGUUUAUGAGGGUCAAGGAGCUGGAGGCCUGGGGAGGAGCUGGUGUUUUUGUUCAAGUCUGAGGGUCCUGGAGCUGGAGCCCAGGGGAGGAGCCGGUGCUACCACUGAUGUCUUAGGGUCGUGGAGCUGAAGAUCCAAGAGGAGCUGGUGCUGCUAUUCUAGCUUGAGUCUCAUGGAGCUGGAGACCCAGGGAGAAGAUGGUGCUGCUGUUCUAAUUUAAGGAUCGUGAAACAGAAGACCCAGAAAGGAGCUGGUGUUGUCGCUGCUCAAAUCUGAGGGUGUUGGAGCUGGAGCCUGGGGGUGGAGCUGGUGCUGCCUUUGAAGUCUGAGAGUCAUUGAGCUGGAGGUCCAGGAAGGAGCUGGUGCUGCUGUUCUAGGGUGAGGGUGGUGGAGCUGCAGACCCAGGGAGGAGAGGUCUUGUUCUAGUUUCAGGGUUGUGGAGCUGCAGACCCAUGGAGGAGCAAUGCUGUUGUAGUUCGAGGGUCAGGAAGCUGGCGACUCAGGGAGGAGAGUUCUUGUUCUAGUUCGAGGGUCAUCGAGCUACAGGCCCAGGCAGGUGCAAUGUUGUUGUAAUUCAAGGGUCAGGAAGCUGGCGACCCAGGGAGGAGAGGUCUUGUUGUUAUUUGAGGGUCAUGGAGCUGCAGACCCAGGCAGGAGCAAUGUUGUUGUAAUUUGAGGGUCCAGAAGCUGACGACGCAGGGAGGAGAGGUCUUGUUUGAGAUUGAGGGUCGUGGAGCUGCAGACCCAGGCAGGAGCAAUGUUGUUUUAGUUUGAGGGUCCGGAAGCUGGCAAACCAGGGAAAAGAGGUCUUGUUCUAGCUAAGGGUCGUCGAGCUACAGAUCCAGGGAGGAGCAGUGUUGUAGUUCGAGUCCGGAAGCUGGCGACCCAGGGAGGAGAGGUCUUGUUGUUAUUUGAGGGUAAUGGAGCUGCAGACCCAGGCAGGAGCAUUGUUGUUGUAAUUCGAGGGUCCGGAAGCUGGAGACCCAGGGAGGAGAGGUCUUGUUCUAGUUUGAGGGUUGUCGAGCUACAGACCCAGGCAGGAGCAAUGUUGUUGUAGUUCGAGGGUCAGGAAGCUGGAGACCCAGGGAGGAGAGGUCUUGUUCUUAUUUGAGGGUCGUGGAGCUGCAGACCCAGGCAGGAGCAAUGUUGUUGUAAUUUGAGGGUCCGGAAGCUGGAGACCCAGGGAGGAGAGGUCUUGUUCGAGUUUGAGGAUCAUGGAGCCGCAGACCCAGGGAGGAACAAUGUUGUUGUAGUUCGAGGGUCCUGGAGCUGCAGACCCAGGGAGGAGCCAUGUUGUUUUGAGUGUCAUGGAGCUGGAGAUCCAUGGAGGAGUUGGUGCUGCCUUUCAAGUCUGGGAGUCAUUGAGCUGGAGAUCCAGGGAGGAACAAGUGUUGCUGUUCUAGUCUGAGGGUAGUGAAGCUGGAGACCCAAGGAAGAGCCGGUGCUGCUGUUCAUGCCUGAGUGUUGUGGAACUGAAGAACCAGAGAGGAGGCGGUGCUGCUGUUCUAGUUUAAGGGUAGUGGCGCUGGAGAUCCUGGGGAGAGCCGGUGCCGUCGUUUAAAUCUGUGGGUCCUGGAGCUGGAGCCCUAGGCAGGAGCUGGUGUUGUUGUUGUUGAAAUCCGAGGUCAUGGGGCUUGAGGUACAGGGAGGAUCCGCUGCUGCUGUUCAAGUCUGAGGGUCGUGUAGCUAGAGAGCGGGGAGGAGGUAGUCUUGGUGUCUAGUGUGAGGGUGGUGGAGCUGUACACCUGGGGAGGAGCUGGUACUGCUGUGUAGUUUGAGGGUCAUGGAACUGGAGACCUAGGGAGGAGCCAGUGCUACUGCCAUUUAAGUCAGAAGGUUGUGGAUCUGGAGUUUUGGGGAACAGCCCGUGCUGCUGUUUAACUGUGGGGAGGUUCCUGUGUGUCAGUUGAAGUUUGAUGGUUUGGGAGCUGGAGACCCAGGGAGGAGCCAGUGCUGCUGUUCUAGUUUGAGGGUAGUGGAGCUGGAGAUCCCGGGAAGAGCUGGUGCUGUCCUUUAAAUCUGUGGGUCCUGGAGCUGGAAAACUGGUGGGGAGCUAGUUCUGCCAUUCAUGUCUUAGGGUCGUGGAGCUGGAAAUCCAGGGAGGCAGUGGUGCUGCUGUUCUAGUUUAAGGAUCAUGAAGCUGGAGACCUGGAUAGCAGAUGGUGCUACCAUUAUUCAAAUCUGAGGGUCAUGGAGCCGGAGCCUUGGGGAGUUGCCGGUGCCGCCUCUCAAGUCUGAGAGUUGUUGAGCUGGAGAUGCAGGGAGGAGCCCGUGUUGCUGUUGUAGUUUGAGGGUCAUGGAGCUGGAGACUCAGAGAGGAGGGGUGCUGUUCUAAUCUGAGGGGUGUGAAUCUGGAGACCCAGGGAGGAGCUGGUGCUGCUGUUGCUUAAGGCUGAGGGUUGUGGAGCUGGAGACCUGGGGGUGGCUGGUGUUGCUGUUGUUCAAGUCAGAGGGUCAUGGGGCUUGAGGUACAGGGAAGAGCUCGUGCUGCGGUUGCAGGUUGAGGGUCAUGGAGCUGGAAAUCUAGGGAGGAGCCACUGCUGCUGUUCAAGUCUGAGGGUCGUGUAGCUGGAGAGCGGGGAGGAGGUAGUGUUGGUGUCUAGUGUGAGGGUGGUGGAGCAGUAGACCUGGGGAAGAGCCGGUGCUGUGUAGUUUGAGGGUCAUGGAACUGGAGACCUAGGGAGCAGCCAGUGCUACCACCAUUUAAGUCAGAGGGUCAUGGAUCUGGAGCUUUGGGUAACAGCCCAUGCUGCUGUUUAACCUUGGAGGGAUCCGGUGUGUCAGUUGAAGUUUGAGGGUUUGGGAGCUGGAGACCCAGGGAGGAGCUGAUGAUGCCAUUCUAUUUUGAGGGUCGUGGAUCUGGAGACCUUGGGAGAGGCUGGUACUGCUGUUGAAGUUUGACGGUCGUGGAACCGGAGACAGGGGAAGGAGCCGGUGCUGCUGCUGUUCAUGUCUGAGGGUUGUAGAGCUGGAGACCCAGGGAGAAGUCCAUACUACGGCUUUUUAAGUCUGAGGGUCAUGGAGCCUGAGACCUGGGGAGGGGCCAGUGCUGCUGUUCAAAUGACUCCUUCCUGGGUCUCCAGCUCCAUGACCUUCAAACUAGGACAGCAGCAGCAGAUCCUUCCGGGGUCUUCCAGCUCCAUGACCUUCACACUAGAACAGCAGCACCGGCUCCACCCUGGGUCUCCAGAUCCACGACCCUCAAACUAGAACAGCAGCACUGACUCCUCCCUGGGUCUCCAGCUCUACAACCCUCAGACUCGAGGAGCUGGAGACCUGGGGAAGAGCCAGGGCUGCUUUUCUACUUUGAGGGUUGUGGAGCUGGAGACCCAGGGUGCAGCAGCUGCUGCUAUUAUAGUUUGAGGGCCUUGGAGCCAGAAACUUUGUGAGGAGCCGGUGCUGCGUUUCAAAUCUGAGAGUCAUUGAGCUGGAGACCCAGGGAGGAACCGGUGUUGCUGUUCUAGCCUGAGGGUAGUGAAGCUGGAGACCCAAGGAGGAGCCGAUGCUGCUGUUCUAGUUUGAGGUUAGUGGAGCUGGAGGUCACAGGAAGAGCCGGUGCUGCUGUUUAAAUCUGUGGGUCCUCGAGCUGGAGCCCUGUGGGGGAGCUGGUGUUGCUGUUGUUCAAGUCUGAGCAUAAUGGGGCUUUAGGUACAGGGAGGAGCCGCUGCUGUUCAAGUCUGAGGGUCAUGUAGCUGGAGAGUGGGGAGGAGGUAGUCUUGGUGUCUAGUGUGAGGGUGGUGGAGCUGUAGACCUGGGGAGGAGCCGGUGCUGCUGUGUAGUUUGAGGGUCAUGGAACUGCAGACCUAGGAAGGAGCCGGUGCUACCGCCAUUUAAGUCAGAGGGUCAUGGAUCUGGAGCUUUGGGGAACAGCCCGUGCUGCUGUUUAACUGUGGGGAGGAUCUGGUGUGUCAAUUGAAGUUUGAGGGUUUGGGAGCUGGAGACCCAGGGAGGAGCCGGUGAUGCCAUUCUAUUUUGAGGGUCGUGGAUCUGGAGACCUGGGGAGAGGCUGGUACUGUUGUUGUAGUUUGAGGGUCGUGGAAGUGGAGACAGGGCGAGGAGCCGGUGCUGCUGCUGUUCAUGUCUGAGGGUUGUAGAGCUGGAGCCCCAGGGAGAAGUCCAUACUAUGGCUUUUUAAGUCUGAGGGUCAUGGAGCCUGAGACCUGGGGAGGAGCUGGUGCUGGUGUAUAGUUUGAGGGUCGUGGAACUGGAGACCUAGGGAGGAGCCGGUGCUACCGCCACUUAAGUCAGAGGUUCGUGGAUCUGGAGCUUUGGGGAAGAGCCCGUGCUGCUAUUUAGCUGUGGGGAGGAUCUGGUGUGUCAAUUGAAGUUUGAGGGUUUGGGAGCUGGAGAUCCAGGAGGGAGCCUAUGAUGCCAUUCUAUUUUGAGGGUCAUGUAUGUGGAGACCUGGGGAGAGGCCGGUACUGCUGUUGUAGUUUGAGGGUUGUGGAAGUGGAGACAAAGGUAGGAGGCGGUGCUGCUGCUGUUCAUUUCUGAGGAUUGUAGAGCUGGAGGUCCACGGAGGAACCAGUGUUGCUGUUCUAGUCUGAGGGUAGUGAAGCUGGAGACCCAAGGAGGAGCUGGUACUAUUGUUCAUGUGUGAGGAUUGUGGAGCUGGAGAACCAGAGAGGAGCCGGUGCUGCUGAUCUAGUUUGAGGGCCGUGGAGCUGGAGAUCCCGGGAAGAGCCAGUGCUGCCGUUCAAAUCUGUGGGUCUUGGAGUUGGAGUGCUGGGGUGACCCGGUUCUUUCAUUCAUGUCUUAGAGUCAUGGAGCUGGAAACCCAGGGAGGCGGCGGUGCUGCUGUUCUAGUUUAAGGAUAGUGAAGCUGGAGACCUGGACAGGAGCUGGUGCUACCACUGUUCAAAUCUGAGGGUCAUGGAGCUGGAGCCUUGGGGAGGUGCCGGUGCUGCCUCUCAAGUCUGUGAGUUGUUGAGCUGGAGAUUCAGGGAGGAGCCAGUGUUGCUGUUGUUGUUGGAGGAUUGUGGAGCUGGAGGCUGAAGAGGAGCUGGUGUUGCAGUUCAAGUUUGAUGGUCGUGGAGCUGGAGACCUGGGGAGGAGCUGGUGCUACCACCGUGUAAGUUGAGGGUUGUGGAGCUGGUGGCCCCAGGGAAGAGCCAGUGCUAUAGUUGAAGUUUGAGGGAGCUGGAGACCCAGGGAGUAGCUGGUGCUGCUGUUCUAGUUUGAGGUUUGUGGAGCUGGAGCCUUGGUUGGGAGCCAGUGCCACCUCCCAAGUCUGAGAGUCAUUGAGCUGGAGAUCCACGGGGGAGCUGGUGCUGCUGUUGUAGUUUGAGGAUCAUGGAGCUGGAGACCCAGGUGGAGCUGGUGCUGCAGUUGGAGUUUGAGGGUCAGGGAGCUGGAGAUCUGGGGAGGAGCCAGUGCUGCUGUUUAAGUCUGAGGGUCGGGGAGCUAAACAUGGAGCCAAAGUUGGGGAAGUAGAGAGAGUUACAGGAUGACCCUGGAAACGGUGAUGUAGCUGUAGCCCAAGCAAGCUAAGCUUGGGAACUUCUCAAUGCUAGUGAUGAGUGCAUUCUUUUUCCUCUUAUACAGUUUGGAUUUCUUUUCUGUCUCAUAAGACAGAAAGUUCCUGAUUAAUACCCUUAGGAAUUGAAAAGCUUAAAAAAACUAAAGGAUGUUGGUAAUAAUAAUAAUAGGAAUUAAACCAUGAUUAUCCUGGCUGACAGAGACAAAAUCACACACACACAAUAUAUAUCUUUCAAUCAGUUAGUAAAAUAAAAAAUAAAUGGAAAAAUAGACCCAAGCAAAGCUAUAAAAAGUUGUUUCAUGGAGAAGCAAUGGAGGACGGAGAUUAAUCUGAGAGUUGCUAUUAAUGGAGAAACUGAGAACUUAC
This 6012-nucleotide long non-coding RNA is filed under the name Homo sapiens (human). RNAcentral's name for it is "HSALNT0340999". The record is from RNAcentral. Lineage: Eukaryota; Metazoa; Chordata; Mammalia; Primates; Hominidae.